CCUACGGGUGGCAGCAGUGGGGAAUAUUGCGCAAUGGGCGAAAGCCUGACGCAGCGACGCCGCGUGAGGGAUGAAGGUCUUCGGAUCGUAAACCUCUGUCAGCAGGGAAGAACGGUCACUGUGCUAAUCAGCAGUGAAUUGACGGUACCUGCAAAGGAAGCACCGGCUAACUCCGUGCCAGCAGCCGCGGUAAUACGGAGGGUGCGAGCGUUAAUCGGAAUUACUGGGCGUAAAGCGAUCGUAGGCGGUAUGUCAAGUCAAGGGUGAAAUCCCCGCGCUCAACGUGGGAACUGCCUUGGAAACUGGCAAACUGGAGUGUGUGAGAGGAUAGUGGAAUUCCAGGUGUAGGAGUGAAAUGCGUAGAUAUCUGGAGGAACAUCAGUGGCGAAGGCGACUAUCUGGCACAUAACUGACGCUGAGGAGCGAAAGCGUGGGUAGCAAACAGGAUUAGAUACCCCAGUAGUC
This 465-nucleotide ribosomal RNA is filed under the name uncultured bacterium. Its description in RNAcentral is "partial 16S ribosomal RNA". It matches the Rfam family "Bacterial small subunit ribosomal RNA", at positions 338 to 795 of the family's 1533-position model. The record is from RNAcentral.